CCUACGGGAGGCAGCAGUCGAGAAUCAUUCACAAUGGGGGAAACCCUGAUGGUGCGACGCCGCGUGGGGGAAUGAAGGUCUUCGGAUUGUAAACCCCUGUCAUGUGGGAGCAAAUUAAAAAGAUAGUACCACAAGAGGAAGAGACGGCUAACUCUGUGCCAGCAGCCGCGGUAAUACAGAGGUCUCAAGCGUUGUUCGGAAUCACUGGGCGUAAAGCGUGAGUAGGCUGUUUCGUAAGUCGUGUGUGAAAGGCGCGGGCUCAACCCGCGGACGGCACCUGAUACUGCGAGACUAGAGUAAGGGAGGGGGAACCGGAAUUCUCGGUGUAGCAGUGAAAUGCGUAGAUAUCGAGAGGAACACUCGUGGCGAAGGCGGGUUCCUGGACAUUAACUGACGCUGAGGCACGAAGGCCAGGGGAGCGAAAGGGAUUAGAUACCCUAGUAGUC
This 446-nucleotide ribosomal RNA is filed under the name uncultured bacterium. RNAcentral's name for it is "partial 16S ribosomal RNA". It matches the Rfam family "Bacterial small subunit ribosomal RNA", at positions 338 to 795 of the family's 1533-position model. The record is from RNAcentral.